UACACGCAUGAUUGUAAGUCGCUGUGGAUAAAACCGUCUGCUAAAUAGCAUUUA
This is a non-coding RNA of Salmo salar (Atlantic salmon), 54 nucleotides long. Lineage: Eukaryota; Metazoa; Chordata; Actinopteri; Salmoniformes; Salmonidae. The record is from Rfam.